RNAcentral lists this long non-coding RNA (1510 nucleotides) under Fukomys damarensis (Damara mole-rat). RNAcentral's name for it is "lncRNA (ENSFDAG00000024172.1)". Lineage: Eukaryota; Metazoa; Chordata; Mammalia; Rodentia; Bathyergidae. The record is from RNAcentral.
UGCCCUUUCAGGGUGCACUCACCGGCCUUGCUGCUGGGGACGCUGGGCGUUUGCCAGGGCGGCCCUCGGAGCUGCUUCCUCCGUCCUGCGAGGGACAGGGCAAGGGGAGGCCGGGCGCACACCGAGCGCCCGGGCAGUGCCUCUCACUGCCCAGCGCGGGCCCCGCCGGUCACGUGGGCGCGCCCCGCCCACCAGGAUCCCUGGCGCCGGGUCGGUCAGUCCUGGGGCGCAGUGAGUCGGGGAAGCUCCGCGCUCCUCACCCCAAGCCGGUCAGGCGAAGGGUGGAGGGAGGGAAGGACGGGCGCACCUUGCUGGGCGGGGGAUUGGGAGAGGCGGGUGGAGAGGCGUGGCCACCUCGGCCCUUCCUGGCACGGGGAUCAGCGCGGGCACCUAGGAGGCACCUUCCCACCUCUGCAGAGCGAACGCUGGUUCCUCCGCCUCACAGACGGAGACGGACUCAGCAGAGCGCCUGCUGGAGGCUUCGAAUCCGGAGUGGGACUUUGCGCCCAGGGGUCCCCAGCCACGGGGAUCCUGCAGGCAGGACUGGGGCGGGGGAGGCCCUGGGCGAUGAAGACAACCCGGGGUCUCACGUCUGUGGCCCUAUGCGGUCCAGGACACGGGCUGGGAACCGCCCAUCUCCCCGGACUCUGGAGCCAGCCGGUUCCGAGAUGGGGUCCGUGUCCAGGCACCAGGUCCGCUGGCCUUCUGAGUGCCCUGGAUGCUGAGGGAUGGCCUUCCCUCUCGCCCGCCACUUCAUGCAGGAGCUGGAACCGCGUUACCAGCUCUUUCUCUAGGUCUGCAAACACGGAAAGUGCCGGGAUGAAUGGAAGGGCAGAGAUGUCCUCCAGGACUGAUUUCCGGCAUCUCAGGACUGCACCAGACCUGCAGACCAGCACCAGGUUAUCGAACCUUCUGGCCAGGUCCUGCGGGACAGGCAGAGGGGACCAGGCUCAGAUCCUGGACAGAGGCCUUGGGCAGCUCAGCUGCUCCACACUGCAUGCAGUGAGUCCUCCAUGCCGACAGGGGCGGCAGAAUAGGUGAGUGCCCCCCACCCCAGGGGAACUGAGCCCUGCAUUCCUUCUGGGUCACCCACCCUGAGUGCCACCCCAACAUCUCCCGCUUUAGCCGGGGCCCUUCCACACCUGAGGACCUCAGUGAAUGGGCCAAUGGGGUUGUAUCCAACCUUCUCCAGAUGGCUCCCCACCUGUCUGCGAUCCCCCCACCCCCAGACCCUAGUCCUUCUCCAUGCAGUCCUCCCUCCCCUCUGCACCUCUGCCUGGUGCAGAUACUCCCCCACUACCUUCCCUCCCCAGGAUCCCGCACUCCUUCUGGGCCUUCCAGGCCUCCCUCAGAGUGUGUGUGUGACUCUCUGGGCCCUACAAUCCUGACUCUGACCAUCCAGUCUCCAUCCUCUGCCAGGAGACCCUCACCACCAUGUCAACCCAUAAAUGAGCAGGCACAGAAAUCCCGCACCAGACCCCAUCCAACAGUUUGCAUCCACAACAAUGAC